CAACAAAGGGAUGAUGGACUUAGUUGAUGGUCAUUGCUACCCUCCCACUAGAAUAUCAGCAGAGAUGAUGCCUGUUUUGUUUACCACCCACAACUAGGUCAGUUCCUGGGACAUAAACGUGCUGACAACUUUAUGUAUUUGUUACUCUGAAGUAACCAUGACAAUGUCUACAUCAGAAUUUACAGAUGUCGGGGUCCUCCCCUCAAUCUGCUGAACUGAUUUAUCUGGUGCCCAGGAAGUGGAUUUUCACAAAGCACAAGUAAUCCAAACGUGUGCCUCUAGUUAAGAACCAUGGCCAGAAGCAAAGGACCUCAGAAGCAAAAUGCAUACCUAGUGGAUGGAUCUUGGUUUCUAAAUGUCACAGCCCCGAGAAAAUGAACCCUGUCCACCAGGAACCACGAUCUUGGACUUCUCCCCUCCAGAACUGUGAGACAAUAAAUUUGUUUUCUGAGCCGCCCAAUUUAUGACACUUUGUUGUGGCAGUCCUAGCAAACUCAUACAUUAUCCUAACCAACAGAAGUCUGGCUGGAGUAACCUCAGCUUAAUACAGGACAAUAUUCUUACCAUCCAGA
Molecule: long non-coding RNA, 572 nt
Organism: Panthera uncia (snow leopard)
Lineage: Eukaryota; Metazoa; Chordata; Mammalia; Carnivora; Felidae
Exons: 3
Source: RefSeq, a predicted model, not a curated record